UGGAAUCAAAACCAAGGCACAUUGAAUUCCUCAUAGUACCAUCUUUGGGCUACUCAGGAACCAAAACUUUUCACGCCAAUUUAAGAAAUUAUACUAAGGAAUCCCUUUACCUAACCAUCUGACAAGGCUUCAACCAGAUUCUGGGAAGGACCUCUUGACACAUCAAAUAGAACCUA
This is an unclassified non-coding RNA of Mesocricetus auratus (golden hamster), 176 nucleotides long. The record is from Ensembl. NCBI's taxonomy places the organism in Eukaryota, Metazoa, Chordata, Mammalia, Rodentia, Cricetidae.